This is a long non-coding RNA of Raphanus sativus (radish), 1189 nucleotides long. RefSeq lists it as uncharacterized. The transcript is spliced from 4 exons. The record is from RefSeq and is a predicted model, not a curated record. NCBI's taxonomy places the organism in Eukaryota, Viridiplantae, Streptophyta, Magnoliopsida, Brassicales, Brassicaceae.
CCCUAAUCUGCGAUGAAGAGUACAUUUGUGUUCUCCUGUUUCACAUCGAUCGGCGGAGGCGAUGACGUUCCAGUUCCGUAACGGAGGCGUUGUGAUUUCUUCGACUUUAAUCUCAUUGUCUUUAAUCCCACUAAAUCGAACGCCCACUACGAUCUCUUCGGUUAAGUUGUUCAGUCGGCGAUCUCAUGUAUAAAUAGACGGCACGGAUGGACAAAUUAAACCCGCUUGAGAUCAUAAGUCUGAUUCAGACGGCGCGGAUGGAGAUCUUCAAGGGCCUCAGAGACACAAAGGGGAAGCAGUCAGUGUGUUCUUGAAGAAUAUAUUUUGAACAACUCUACUCCCUCUUUUCUUAUUGUUUUCCAUUAGCUACUAUGAUGAAAACCAUCAUCUGUCCGCUAACACAUUUGUCAACGUUUCUGUGUAUAUAUUUCAGACAUUAUCUAUUUCAAAGGUUCAAUUGAUCCAUAUGAUAUAUAUAUUGUACUACCAUAUGCAUACUGAAAACGACAUAAAGAAAGAGAAACAUCAUGGUUAACUUGAAUAUUGACAGGAGUGUGACAACGUUUAGCGUGAGUGUUAUCCAACUUGAAACUGCGCUUUGUUUUAUCAUGUGUAUGCAUACAUGGUUUGUGAUGCUGUUGGAGUAAAGGAAAGGAACAUUAUGAAAGCAUCUUCAACUGUCACUACUGAAAUUGUCGAUCACAGAUAAGUCUUUUUUAAGGAGAAUACAAAAUCAAUUUUUGUAUUCAGUGAUUCUGAUAUGUUUUUGUAGGUAUGGUACAAAGACAGCAGAGGCGACAACCAGACAAAUGCGGGGUUUGGAGCAGCAGGGCAUGCUCUUAGAACAGCGUGGACAGUUUUCAUGAUCAGACAAGCUCUCCCAAAGAGUCUGUAAUAAAGAGUGUGUUUAAUUGAUGUCUAAAACCGCAGUUAAAACGGCAGCCUAAUAAAAAAAAAGGGAAAGGAGCUUUUUUAAAUCAACCGAGAAAAAGAGUUAUAAGUGGAUGCUGUGUUGUUUGUACAUCAGUUUCAUUGCCUUGGUGCAAAAGCAAUACCCAUUUAAAAAAAUAGGUUUUGGUUAUUGUUGUUGGGGCAUGUGUUUCUUUUAGAAUCAAUAGCUAUAUGCAAACAUAGACACAAUAUUUUUUAUUGGGUAUGCUUAGUCACUGAGAAUGAUAAUUUUUUUGUA